RNAcentral lists this ribosomal RNA (292 nucleotides) under uncultured bacterium. RNAcentral's name for it is "partial 16S ribosomal RNA". It matches the Rfam family "Bacterial small subunit ribosomal RNA", at positions 1183 to 1474 of the family's 1533-position model. The record is from RNAcentral.
CGUCAAGUCAUCAUGGCCCUUACGGCCAGGGCUACACACGUGCUACAAUGGCGUAUACAGAGGGAAGCGACCUCGCGAGAGCAAGCGGAACCCACAAAGUACGUCGUAGUCCGGAUUGGAGUCUGCAACUCGACUCCAUGAAGUCGGAAUCGCUAGUAAUCGCAAAUCAGAAUGUUGCGGUGAAUACGUUCCCGGGCCUUGUACACACCGCCCGUCACACCAUGGGAGUGGGUUGCACCAGAAGUAGUUAGUCUAACCUUCGGGAGGACGAUUACCACGGUGUGAUUCAUGA